Molecule: ribosomal RNA, 206 nt
Filed under: uncultured bacterium
Lineage: Bacteria
Description: partial 16S ribosomal RNA
Rfam family: Bacterial small subunit ribosomal RNA
Source: RNAcentral
CACGCAGGCGGUCUGUCAAGUCGGAUGUGAAAUCCCCGGGCUCAACCUGGGAACUGCAUUCGAAACUGGCAGGCUGGAGUCUUGUAGAGGGGGGUAGAAUUCCAGGUGUAGCGGUGAAAUGCGUAGAGAUCUGGAGGAAUACCGGUGGCGAAGGCGGCCCCCUGGACAAAGACUGACGCUCAGGUGCGAAAGCGUGGGGAGCAAAC